GCUGUAUUUGGUGAAGCUAUAGAUCUAAUGAGAAGGUACAGGACAAGAAAGAUCUGAUAAGAGAGGGAAAAAACAGCGAUCAGGAAGCGGUCGAUAUGGUUUUUGAUGGAGACCAGCUUAUUUUGACCAGUCUGUUCUGUUAAAGUAAGCAGAAGUCUUGCUCAGAUGGCAGCUGUAUUAUUUAUGCCUUUGUCGAACACAGCCUGUGUAAAGUUGAAGAUCAAGCCUGGGUUGCUCAAAAGAAAAAGAGGGAAUUGUGGAGAGAUUUUUGCUAACAGGACAUGAAUUGAUAAACAUGAGCAAACCCAUGCUCUGAAGUGUCUUUGGACUCAGCCAGGCGGUGGGUGCCAGCCCCUCACAUGCAGCUGCAAGGGGUGGAGUGCCUGCUGCAGUGGGCAGGAACAGCCAGCUGCAGGGUGUUCCUGCCAGGAUUGUUGGCAUAAUGUUAACCUGUCUGUACCACAUACAUAACUCUGGACCAAUCUGUACUUUCCACAUGUACCAAUCUUGAACUAAGUUAGCUCUGCAUGCCUCUUCCAAGUAAGCAUAUAACUCACUGUAACAUGGAAAUAAAGGAGGGAGAAUGAUCAU
Long non-coding RNA from Pogoniulus pusillus (Red-fronted tinkerbird), 591 nucleotides. RefSeq lists it as uncharacterized. The transcript has 3 exons. The record is from RefSeq and is a predicted model, not a curated record. Lineage: Eukaryota; Metazoa; Chordata; Aves; Piciformes; Lybiidae.